Molecule: long non-coding RNA, 783 nt
Organism: Panicum virgatum (switchgrass)
Lineage: Eukaryota; Viridiplantae; Streptophyta; Magnoliopsida; Poales; Poaceae
Exons: 5
Source: RefSeq, a predicted model, not a curated record
CUACUACUGCAUCAAUGACAAGACUGGGAUCAAGCGACGACAGCCAGGUCUCCAAAGAAUCAUGGCCACUACUCUGAAGAAUCAUGGUCUGAAUUGGAUGGACACUUUGAUCUUGAAGCAUCUGGGAAGGACUCAGUACAAAAUUGCAGAGUUACAAAACCAUAAUCAAAAUCUGAGAAUAACCAGGUGAUCAGCAAAGUUGGGGCAAGCCUUCUCCGUGACACUAAACCUAGGUCUGAAAUGACAGUGAGUGGUACUCCUCUCUUGCUUGAGCUCAAUCUCUUUUGGAACAACAUUACCAUAAGAUGAUAGAAGCGUUUGCUUCUGCAUGUUUGUGUGGCUGAAGUAAGUUCAUGUAAGCAGAUUCUUCUCUCCUUUUCUUUUUGUUCUUUGUUAAUUCCUUUAGAUCUCCAAAACAAGGCAUGUAAAUUCUGGUAUUAGCAAGUUUCUCUUUUUUUUGUUACCGGUGCCUUGUUGUUUAUCCAAUUGGAUGCCGAUGCUCAGUCUAGCAAAUUUCAGUAUAAAAUGUUAGUUGACUUUGCUGUGGACUUAAUGUCCGGUAUGUUUUCCAUGUGAUUGUUUUUUAGCAUGUCGGACAGGAAUACAUGAUACUGGAGCAAACCAGGUGGGCUGAUGGAGCUACAAGAUAACACACAUCUGAAAACAGCACAAAUCAUACUCCAACCAGGUCUAUCCAUACGAGCUUUGCAUCAUCAGGUUAGUCAGGAGGAAGGUGUAAAUGAUUUGCGUUCUGGAUCUUUUGUAAAUCCUUAAUGGUGGAUG